Vicia faba (fava bean) is the source of this 190-nucleotide non-coding RNA. NCBI's taxonomy places the organism in Eukaryota, Viridiplantae, Streptophyta, Magnoliopsida, Fabales, Fabaceae. The record is from the annotation of a GenBank genome assembly.
AUCAACUCUACAUUAUGUCUCUCAAUAUUUUAUUCACUCUUUUGUUGGAGUUGCAGGAUUGAUCUGCAUCAUCGAUUUCAGAGUGUGUCUGCAUCAGCGAGCUUAUUUCCAGCAGAUUCUGAGUAUGGUGGUUCAGUCUAUCGUCAGUGAUGCGUGGGGGAAAGGCAUGGUGCUCUUUGGUUCGGAGUAG